CUGAUGAGGGUGGUGACGUGGCGUUCGUAUUGUAAAACUGAAACAAUUCGUAUCUAACAUUGCACCACGCAAGCAGAGCCCUCGCGCCCUCUUUUCCUUCGCAGCAUGAGGGUAGAGUAGAAAUCGCGUUUUGCAAACACUCUUCACAACUACUACUCGUUAAGCUCGGCUCGCACUCCGUCAGGGCGUACACCCUUCUCUGAGCCGAGGAUCCGGCGAAUUCUCUAUCGCCGGUGGCGAAUUUCCUCGCCGAGUUAGAAUUCGCUGUUUCUUCCACCAAAUCGUCCAACAAGCCGAACAACGUUCCGUUAAAGCUGCCCAAGUCGGAGGUGGAGAUGUUUUCACCGUUCCAUAAGCUAGCUCCCGGUUCGAUGCUGGCGGGGUCGAAGUAGGUGUUGGUGAAACGGAGCGUGCACUCGUCGUACCAUAUUAUGGACUCUGUUUUGUUGGGGCAGAGUUGUGUUAUUUCGGUGGCGGCGGUGGUUAUGCAGUCGUUACACGUGGCGAGGGAGACGUCGCCGCGGCAGAGGAAAUAGCCGCUGGCGGCACUUGUGGUCCCCAAGCCCAUGGCGGUGAAAUAGGAGCCGUCGGAUUGGGAAAUGUUGGAGACGAGAGAUUCGAGGAGGAAUUUGAGAUUGGUUUCGAAUGUUGCGGUGGAAUUGUAGGAUGCGUUGGUUGGGCAGUAAUUGUAAACCGGAGCUGCAGAGGAACAAAACGGUUCGAUUACGAAGAGAGACAGGAACAGAAGAAAGGUAACAUGGUUGAUGGAGUUGGAGAGGAACAUGUUGCGCCCAAACAUCGUUUCGCGCACAACACAAGAUUUUGGAAUUGGAAUAUGCGCGAUGUUGGACAAAUUGAAAUGCAGGUCAAGAAGCAACCCCACAAAGACCUAGUCCACUAUUCAGAAAGAAGGUUUGAAAAGCUACUUCGCGGCUGAUAUCAAACAUUUCCUAGAUUCAAAUAUAUUUUUUGUCAAUUUUGUGUUAGUUCACAUGUUAAAUGUAUUCAAACC
Molecule: small RNA, 1012 nt
Filed under: Vigna angularis var. angularis
Lineage: Eukaryota; Viridiplantae; Streptophyta; Magnoliopsida; Fabales; Fabaceae
Description: Non-protein coding transcript
Source: RNAcentral